GCAGGACAGAGUGGGCCGUGAGUGUCCCGCACACACUGUAGAAGCCAGUGUUGGGCACCCGUGGCCCUGCUGAGCAGGGCCCUGUGAGGGCUGGACCCCACCCACCGUGGCACCCUGGCUGCCUGCCUGAAGAGGAGGGUGGACUCUGCCCAAUGAGAGCCUCUCUGUGUGUAGAGCCAGGGCCAUCUUGACCCCCCUGCUGUUGGAGCCAACGCUCCUGGGGCACUCUUGACAGAGCUCAGCUCAAAUGCCCUUUCUCAGGCCACACUGACCAGUGCCUCCCCAAGCAGAGAGUGAGCUCCCGGGAGUCAGGGCUGCACCUGGCCCAGGGCUGGCACAAAGAGUGUACCUGGUCCAGGGCUGGCACACCACAGGUGUGAUGGAUGACAGACUGAAGGAUGAGGGGUCAAAUCAAAGGCAAGAAUUAAAGCUCGAAAUUCUUGAAUGAACUUAGUGGGAUCCUGGCUAAAUGAACCCAGUGUGGAUUCGAGAAAGAUCAGACAUUGGAAAAGGGACAUGAACUUGAAUUGUUCCCAAAUCUCCAUUUGCCACCUUGUGGAGAGGGCUUCAGGAUCCCACUGAAGAGUGGUCUUGGACAGAGCCCUCAGUUUCCGAGUAAAGAACCAGACCAUCAAGGGAAGCAGGGAGGGAAAAGAAGGGAGAAAUCCCAGUAAAGUCCUGUACGCACAACCGAGGUGCCUGGCGAGGUGUCGGAGCCCCAGCCUCGGGAAGGGGCCGACUCGAGGGCUGGUAACCAGGAGAAGCUGUUGCAACCACCAAGGGAGGGUGUUUCCUCAGGCCGAGAGCUUAUUGGGAGCUUCGGAGCUACGAACCACAGCAAGCUGCAGGGCAGGCAACUGACCUUUGUCACCCAGGAGUCCAGGGGAUAAGGGCCACCUGGCCACGUGGCCAGGCCGUUCCAGCCAAGGCCAGCAGCAGCAGUGCCCUGGGAGUGGCCUCUCGCAGCUGUGAAACGGGAGCUGAGGGCACCACCUGCUCAGCUCAGCCGCCUUUCUGGGCCCUGGGGUGGGCCUGGGCUGGCAGGAUGGGGCGUGAAGUCCGGGUCAGGACCCGGGACUGGCCUGCCUUGCCCUCCUGGGCAGGACUGACCUGGGGUUGUCUUAGUUCCCCAGAUGAAGUCACCAGCGGAACCAGCCGGCCUGCUACCUGACACACAAGGCCAGGAACUGAGUAUCUUUUAAAAGUUUAACUUGUUUUGUUAUA
Molecule: long non-coding RNA, 1224 nt
Filed under: Homo sapiens (human)
Lineage: Eukaryota; Metazoa; Chordata; Mammalia; Primates; Hominidae
Description: HSALNT0309808
Source: RNAcentral